This 495-nucleotide ribosomal RNA is filed under the name uncultured bacterium. RNAcentral describes it as "partial 16S ribosomal RNA". It matches the Rfam family "Bacterial small subunit ribosomal RNA", at positions 28 to 507 of the family's 1533-position model. The record is from RNAcentral.
GAUGAACGCUGGCGGCGUGCCUAAUACAUGCAAGUCGAGCGAACAGAUAAGGAGCUUGCUCCGUUGAAGUGAGCGGCGGGCGGGUGAGUAACACGUGGGUAACCUACCUAUAAGGAUGGGAUAACUUGGAGAACGGAACUAACACCGGAGAACAGAGGGAGACGCAGGGUGAUCAAGGGACAGCAGGCUAUGCUAUGACCCUUGGAUGGACCCGCGACGUAUUAGCGAGUUGGUAAGGUAACGGCUUACCAAGGAGACGAUACGUAGCCGACUUGAGAGGGUGAUCGGCCACCCUGGAACUGAGACACGGUCCAGACUCCUACGGGAGGCAGCAGUAGGGAAUCUUCCGCAAUGGGCGAAAGCCUGACGCAGCAACGCCGCGUGAGUGAUGAAGGGUUUCGGCUCGUAAAACUCUGUUAUUAGGGAAGAACAAACGUGUAAGUAACUGUGCACGUCUUGACGGUACCUAAUCAGAAAGCCACGGCUAACUACGUG